UUAGAGUUUGAUCCUGGCUCAGAUUGAACGCUGGCGGCAUGCUUUACACAUGCAAGUCGAGCGGCAGCGCGGGGGCAACCCUGGCGGCGAGCGGCGAACGGGUGAGUAACACAUCGGAACGUAUCCCGUAGAGGGGGAUAGCCCGGCGAAAGCCGGAUUAAUACCGCAUAUGCUCUACGGAGGAAAGUGGGGGAUCGCAAGACCUCAUGCUCGUGGAGCGGCCGAUAUCUGAUUAGCUAGUUGGUGGGGUAAAGGCCUACCAAGGCAUCGAUCAGUAGCUGGUCUGAGAGGACGACCAGCCACACUGGGACUGAGACACGGCCCAGACUCCUACGGGAGGCAGCAGUGGGGAAUUUUGGACAAUGGGGGCAACCCUGAUCCAGCAAUGCCGCGUGAGUGAAGAAGGCCUUCGGGUUGUAAAGCUCUUUUGUCAGGGAAGAAACGGCGGAGGUUAAUACCUUCUGCUAAUGACGGUACCUGAAGAAUAAGCACCGGCUAACUACGUGCCAGCAGCCGCGGUAAGUCGGCCCAAUCGC
Molecule: ribosomal RNA, 536 nt
Filed under: uncultured bacterium
Lineage: Bacteria
Description: bacterial SSU rRNA
Rfam family: Bacterial small subunit ribosomal RNA
Source: RNAcentral